This is a long non-coding RNA of Suricata suricatta (meerkat), 1336 nucleotides long. RefSeq lists it as uncharacterized. The transcript has 3 exons. NCBI's taxonomy places the organism in Eukaryota, Metazoa, Chordata, Mammalia, Carnivora, Herpestidae. The record is from RefSeq and is a predicted model, not a curated record.
AGGCCACCUGGAGGUUCUUAAGGCAGCUGCAGCCAGGAAACCAGUCAAACAUUCCGGAAAAUUCCCGUUGCUGGAGCCUGGCAAAGAUAGAAGGAGGCAGGGGCGCCUGGCUGGCUCAGUCGGCAGAGGAUCCGGCUUUGAUCUUCGGGUUCCUUCCCCAAAGGGACUAACACCUACUUGCCGGGGUUGCCACUGUGCAUUGGAGAAGGAGAAAUAAUUAUACCUUUCAGAGAUUAUUGGAUGUGGACUCUCAACUGACUCCUGGAAACCUACCAUUCAGAGUAGCGGCUUAUGGAGCACAGGUGAUCCAUGCGGUUUUCACUCAGGUUCAUCUCACAGUGGACACAGUGGAUCAUUGAUGCCACCCUGCGGUUACUCGUCCAGUUCCAGAAUUAGAAUAGACAUGCUCAGCAACUGGCAGAAUUCUCACAUUGGUUCCCUAACCUGUGGAAUGAGGACUAUUAUGGCAGGAAAGGCUGAAUGGAAACCACUAGAACUUCUACCUAGGAAAACAAUAAACCAAAAGCAAUACUGCAUUCCUGGAAGGUUUGAAGAGAUUAGUGCUACCACUGAGGACUUGAAGGAUGCCAGGGGUGAUGAUUGGCACCAUAUCCGGACUCAACUCCCCUAUUUUGGCCUGCACAGAAAACAUACUAAUCUUGGAGAAUAAUAAACCUGGUUGUUUACUUUUCCUGGAAGGAGAGAUGGCCAGAGGCAUAAGUGUCUGCCAAUUCAUGGGUUGCAGCCAGUUUUGGUUAGAUGAUCAGGAGUUUGGAAAUUUGGAAAAUUUCACCAAUUGGAAAAUUGGUCUAACAGAAGCCCCGGCUCACUGAAGGUCAAGUUUGCCCACCAAGCCCAUGGAGACAGCACCAGCUCAGGAGCAGAAAACCAGCCUCCGAAUCUUUAUUCCUGGCCUGACUUCCCCCUGGACCAGACGGUGUGGCCAUAGUGCAGUGACCAUCACUGCUGUUCGCUCUGGAGAGUCUCCCCUGACGUGCUGACGGAGAAGUCCGCACCGGGUGCCCACUGUACAGGCCCCUCGUCUGCAGCUGCAGCGGCCACCGGGUGUGGAGCAGACACGUGUGGACUCUGGCCACCAGGCCCCAGGGCUGCUGCAGUACCUGUGAUACAUGGCUGCUCCCCAAAGGGCUCACAGGUUGGGUGAGGCACACAGAGGAAGCCAACCACCUGCAGCGGAAGGUGGAGUGGAAAAGUUUGGAGAAGGGCAUGCCAGAGUCCCGGGGGAACAGGAGGAGAUAAGCUGGAUAAAGCAGUAGAAGUUGGGAACUUGCCUGGGAAAGGGAAUGUGAAGAAGAAAUAAAAUUUCUGGAAAGGA